RNAcentral lists this unclassified non-coding RNA (3044 nucleotides) under Leishmania donovani. Its description in RNAcentral is "gene:unknown". The record is from RNAcentral. Lineage: Eukaryota; Euglenozoa; Kinetoplastea; Trypanosomatida; Trypanosomatidae.
GAAAAAGCGAAAACGCUUUACCGCGCAGACAAUUCGGCGUUGAGCACGCUCCACAAAGAAGAAAGCAAGCAAUCUGCACACACGGACAUCCGCCUCUACCCAAAGCCGAAUACUUGGCCGCCUUGGCGAGGGUGGGGCUGUCUUCCUAACGCGUACGCAUACAGAUGCAUACGCACGCACGCAUACACAUACACACACACACACCGGCAUCGGCAGUCCAGUUUGUCUACCUUUGCCCGCUGUGCCAUCACUGCGAGGCUCGCCGCCGCCAUCCCUCGCCGUAUUUCUUGUCUAUACCCUUUUGCACCGGAGCAUAGGAGGAGGCUCACGGAAGAAGCAGCGGCGGCUUGCAUUCUGUUGAGAAAUACCGGUGAGGCCGCAACGGAAAGUGGUGGCGGGGGGUGGGGCAGCCGAGAAAGCGAGAGAAAGAAGGGUGGCACUUUCCCUGUGUGUUUGUGCGUGCGUGUUUGGUGGGUGUGGCUGUUAGCGGCCUCUCGUCGUGUGAGUGUCGAGGCAAAGCAGUCCCCUGCCCACCACCACCACUAGCCAUUGUUCGCCGGCUUGCUAUCCCUCUGUUUCUGUCCCUCUUAAGCACCGCCACUUUCGAGCUGCGACAAGCGUCGAAAAGUCGCACUCUCUUUCCUUUUUGGUUUACUGCUCCGCUCGCCAUCUCCCCUACGCCUCCUUUCUAUCCGUUCCCUUCGCCCCCCCCCCUCCCUCCCUCGUGUGUGUGUCUUGUCGUCAUCCUUUUCGUGUUUUGUUUUGUGUUGCCUUGCUCGCGUCGCCCUGGUUGUGCUCGCCCCACCCACCCACCCACCCACCCCCCCGCGCCCCUCUUCCCUCUUCACGGCUAGCCGACCGUGCAUCAUCACCACGCUCCCUUCCAGUUUGUUCGUGACCUUCGCCAGUGCCUUUCCCUUGCGUUGUUUUGUUUUAUUUUUUUUUUUUUGGACUCACCCCGCAUGCGCGCUCUCUUCAUCCCUCCCUUCCUCUCCUUCCUUCCUGUGCUGCUUUCUCCCUCUUGUGUGAGGGCCAAUACUCUACUGCCUCCACCACCACUACCACUCAAAACCUCGCAUUGGUGUGUCUGUCCGUCUUUGUCUGUAUGCUGUUGCGUCUGUCUGUCUGUCGUACGACCUGAUCACGCUCCCUUCCCGUCCCUGAGCACCCACCCACACACGCACACACGCAGCGACACAGGCAGGCCUUCGCCCUGUUGUAUACACAUAGAUAGGGCUACUUUUUCUUUGUGUGGUUGAUUGAUUCGUAGCCUUACGCACUUGGCUCACAUACCAUCCCGGUCCUCCCCCUCGUCCCUCUCUUUCCCUCCGCGCGCGUGUGCGUGCUGGUGUUUUUUUUUUUUUUCUGAAUCCUUCUCGUUGCUUCGCUCUUUGGCUCACUGUCGUGUAUCACCUCCCUUCAUUUUCGGCUUCUACCCCUGCUCCCUCUCCUUGUGUCUUUACCAGUGUCCCUCUCUUUCCCUCCGCGUGCGUGUGUGUGUGUGUGUGUGUUGGAGGCGCGGUCGCACGCUAUGUAUUCUCUUUAUCGUUGCCAGCACACACACCACCUAAAUCAAAGUGACUUGAGCACACCGUCACCGCAGCUCCCCUUUUUUUCUCGUUCUUCGGAUUUGUUUGUCUGUCGCAGUACUUGUCUCAUCACCCCCCCCCUCGCCGAUGCCGCACCCCCCACACACACACACACCGCCCUCUCCGCCCUCUCGUCCUCGCUGCGUUGUGUGUUUCCCUCUGUUGCUUCCGCGGUGAACUCUGCAUACGUUUCUUGUGGGCGCUCUGUGCUUCGCUCUCUCGUGACUUGGAUUCUUCUUUCUUGCUUUUUUGGUUUUCCUCGCCGUCAUCGGCCUUGCUCGUAUCAUCCGCCUUUGAGGGGCGCACCUCUAGCGACCAUCUGCGCCGGCGCAAGUGUCGCGCCGUCUCCCUCCUCUUCUCCUCCCCUUGUGCUGUGUCCGGCGCAUACCCACGCAUAAUCGGGGCAACAAAGUAGGGUUACCCAGGUGCAGGCAAUACGGGACCGCCGGCUGUUCAUUUCUCUUUCUGCGCGCGCGCGGGUGUGGUUACGAGCAUCCGUCAGCUCAUCGGUCAUCGACUGCGGAGAGAAAACCGCCUUGACGUCUAGACGCUGUGCGAGAGGGAGAGGUCGUCUCCACAGCAAUAAGAAGGAAGCAGCGUUGGCAUCACCUUUUCGCGCACGUACACGACGCACCAUUUCUUCAUACACACACGCACAAGCGUACAGCUCGUGAAGGGGGAGGGAAGUCUCGACCCAACACCGCGUCCGUCUUGGAGCGCAAGCAGAGCGUAACGAAGGGGAAAAAAGAGGGUGAGAAAGGGCGCUUCCUUGCGCUGUAGAGCAUACGCGCACCCUCGCCUCUCUCCGUCUUUUUUGGAGCAGACCCUCUGCGCUGCUGUGUGGGUGUGUGGCUGGGUAGCUGGCUGGGUAGGUGGGGGCGUCUUCCUCUUGUUGUUGCGGUUGAUUUUUGUUUUUUUUUUUGGGGGGGGGGGGGGGUGUUCGUUCUUCCUCGUCCUAUAAAAAGUAAGAGUGCAGCGCGGCCCUCUUUUUUUUGUCGUUCCUGUUGUCGUAUACACUGAAAGGCCACGUGGGUCUUCGCCAGCAGACGGAAUCACGCGUGCACAAGGAAGCCCCCCAGGUACUCCUCCUUCUCCCCCCUCCCCUCCCCUUCCCGCAGCCUCUCUCGCAUACGCUGCACAGUCACGCAUCGGCCUAUAGGAGCGAAGUGUUUGCAUCCAGAGGAAAAGAGAAGUCGUUCUCGCGGUAAUAACCCUUCUCACAUUUGCGAUCUCCCCUCUGCACGUGCUGUGUUCCCAUCUCAGUCAUGGAGAGCUACUCAGUGAAGGUGGGCUCUUCAUCGCAGUCGCCAGAGGGCAGCGCGGCUGGGGCCGCAGCGGAGACGCUCACAUCGCCGACAGUUGGGCAAGCAGUGAUAAGCAGCAACUGCAGCACAACUCAAGCCGGCAACUUUCCUCACCUGGUGCGCAAGAACUUGGCACACGUGGCAGCCGUGG